CCUACGGGAGGCAGCAGUGGGGAAUUUUGGACAAUGGGGGAAACCCUGAUCCAGCCAUUCCGCGUGAGUGAAGAAGGCCUUCGGGUUGUAAAGCUCUUUUGUCCGGAGCGCGGUACCGGAAGAAUAAGCACCGGCUAACUACGUGCCAGCAGCCGCGGUAAUACGUAGGGUGCGAGCGUUAAUCGGAAUUACUGGGCGUAAAGCGUGCGCAGGCGGGCUUUUAAGCCAGACGUGAAAUCCCCGGGCUUAACCUGGGAAUGGCGUUUGGGACUGGAAGUCUGGAGUGCGGCAGAGGAGACUGGAAUUCCUGGUGUAGCAGUGAAAUGCGUAGAUAUCAGGAGGAACACCGAUGGCGAAGGCAGGUCUCUGGGCUGAACUGACGCUCAUGCACGAAAGCGUGGGGAGCAAACAGGAUUAGAUACCCUUGUAGUC
RNAcentral lists this ribosomal RNA (432 nucleotides) under uncultured bacterium. RNAcentral describes it as "partial 16S ribosomal RNA". It matches the Rfam family "Bacterial small subunit ribosomal RNA", at positions 338 to 795 of the family's 1533-position model. The record is from RNAcentral.